AACAAUUUACAACUGAAAAACCUAAAAAUGAAUAAUUGACUUCUUUUAAUAGAAAGGAAUCAGCAUUAGUCAUGUUAGAUUCCAUCUUAAAACCAAUAAACAUAAGUGUAAUAAGCCCAAUAGGUAUAUAAACUGCCACACCCCAGGAAUUGAGGCAGGUGAUAUUGGACUUCCAACGAGUCGCAUAGCAAAGAGUUGAAGGAAAAAACAGCAGAUGAUAAGAAGAAGAAAAAGUCAACAAUAAGCAAUAUGCUGAAAUUACCUGCUCUGCGGCCCGACCACCAAGAGUCAUGCAAGUCAUAUCAAAAAGUUGCUCCUUUGUCAUGAGAAGGUUCUCAUUUGGAACAUACUGGGCAAAUCCAAGAGCUGCAGUGCCACGAGGAACUAUGGUUACUUUCAAUAAAGGUUCAGCAUGUUCCAAGAACCAGCCAGCAACAGCAUGAUGUUCAGCCUACAACUCCUUUUUGGGUACUCACCACUUAUAACUGUGUGUAAAUAAAAAUUUCUGGGAAAGAGAAAUUAUUUUGCCUUUACAUUCUUAUAGCUCGAGUUCUGAGGAGUUCAGUAAUAUGCUCUAACACUUGCGUAAGUACUUCAUCUGCAACAGUUGAUGGCUCAAAAUAAAAAAUGAACAAGUACAUGCAUUGUCCCGUGGUAGUGAUAUGUAGGAAAUUUUCAAUAUAAACAGGUCAAGAAUAGUUGAAUAACUGAACACGUGAUUGUCUAGUUUAUAACAUAUCCAUAACCAAAAAAAUGAAAAAUAAAAUAUCUUUUAUUUAGCAGUUAUGAGAUACAAGCUUUCUCUAUAUCAAGGAAUGGAAAAACAACAAAUUCAUGUACAAUAACAAACAGUCUAACAUAAACUUGGUCAAUUAUGUGGGAACAACCAGAGGAUCUAACGGUGAAGAUCCACCGUUCUCCUCAGGCUCAUUGACAGGUUUUUCUAUUAUCUUCUCCUCGUCCUCCUGAAAACCUUGCUUAAAUCUAUCAUAAUUGGUGGGUUCGGCAGACUUGAAUGGCCGUUCUCCCAAAACUCGAACCAUGUCAUCUUGGUGAAGCACCUCUUUUUCAAGAAGCAACUCUGCAAUUUUAGUCACUUGUUCCUUGUGUUCCUCUAUGAGAUGUAUUGUUCGUUCAUAUGCUUUGCCUACCCAUUCGCGCACUUCAUUGUCAAUGAUUGCAGCAGUUUUGCUGCUGUAUGGUUUUGACAUCUCAAACGAGUCCUCUCGUUGAGGAAAAGAGAGAAGGCCAACUUUGUCGCUAAAACCAUAGACUGCUACUUGCGCAUAUGUCAUCUUGGUCACUUUUUCCAAAUCAUUUUGCGCUCCAGUUGAGAUUCUCCCAAUGAGAACCUGGAAUAAGAAGGCAGGGAAACCAUCAUUUUCGUGGCUACGAAGGAUGGGAUUGUGAAACAAUUUACAACUGAAAAACCUAAAAAUGAAUAAUUGACUUCUUUUAAUAGAAAGGAAUCAGCAUUAGUCAUGUUAGAUUCCAUCUUAAAACCAAUAAACAUAAGUGUAAUAAGCCCAAUAGGUAUAUAAACUGCCACACCCCAGGAAUUGAGGCAGGUGAUAUUGGACUUCCAACGAGUCGCAUAGCAAAGAGUUGAAGGAAAAAACAGCAGAUGAUAAGAAGAAGAAAAAGUCAACAAUAAGCAAUAUGCUGAAAUUACCUGCUCUGCGGCCCGACCACCAAGAGUCAUGCAAGUCAUAUCAAAAAGUUGCUCCUUUGUCAUGAGAAGGUUCUCAUUUGGAACAUACUGGGCAAAUCCAAGAGCUGCAGUGCCACGAGGAACUAUGGUUACUUUCAAUAAAGGUUCAGCAUGUUCCAAGAACCAGCCAGCAACAGCAUGACCUGAUUCAUGAUAAGCAACAGUACGCCUUUCAAGCUUGCUUAUUACCUGGUUAAGAAACAA
Molecule: long non-coding RNA, 1915 nt
Filed under: Lupinus angustifolius (narrow-leaved blue lupine)
Lineage: Eukaryota; Viridiplantae; Streptophyta; Magnoliopsida; Fabales; Fabaceae
Description: long non-coding RNA (LANG_LNC001467)
Source: RNAcentral